CAAAAGUGAAAGACGGUCUUGCUGUCACUUAUAGAUGGAUCCGCGCUGCAUUAGCUAGUUGGUAAGGUAACGGCUUACCAAGGCAACGAUGCAUAGCCGACCUGAGAGGGUGAUCGGCCACACUGGAACUGAGACACGGUCCAGACUCCUACGGGAGGCAGCAGUAGGGAAUCUUCCGCAAUGGGCGAAAGCCUGACGGAGCAACGCCGCGUGAGUGAUGAAGGUCUUCGGAUCGUAAAACUCUGUUAUUAGGGAAGAACAUAUGUGUAAGUAACUGUGCACAUCUUGACGGUACCUAAUCAGAAAGCCACGGCUAACUACGUGCCAGCAGCCGCGGUAAUACGUAGGUGGCAAGCGUUAUCCGGAAUUAUUGGGCGUAAAGCGCGCGUAGGCGGUUUUUUAAGUCUGAUGUGAAAGCCCACGGCUCAACCGUGGAGGGUCAUUGGAAACUGGAAAACUUGAGUGCAGAAGAGGAAAGUGGAAUUCCAUGUGUAGCGGUGAAAUGCGCAGAGAUAUGGAGGAACACCAGUGGCGAAGGCGACUUUCUGGUCUGUAACUGACGCUGAUGUGCGAAAGCGUGGGGAUCAAACAGGAUUAGAUACCCUGGUAGUCCACGCCGUAAACGAUGAGUGCUAAGUGUUAGGGGGUUUCCGCCCCUUAGUGCUGCAGCUAACGCAUUAAGCA
RNAcentral lists this ribosomal RNA (684 nucleotides) under Staphylococcus aureus. RNAcentral describes it as "bacterial SSU rRNA". It matches the Rfam family "Bacterial small subunit ribosomal RNA", at positions 195 to 866 of the family's 1533-position model. Lineage: Bacteria; Bacillati; Bacillota; Bacilli; Caryophanales; Staphylococcaceae. The record is from RNAcentral.